RNAcentral lists this ribosomal RNA (440 nucleotides) under uncultured bacterium. RNAcentral describes it as "partial 16S ribosomal RNA". It matches the Rfam family "Bacterial small subunit ribosomal RNA", at positions 338 to 795 of the family's 1533-position model. The record is from RNAcentral.
CCUACGGGAGGCAGCAGUGGGGAAUAUUGCACAAUGGGGGGAACCCUGAUGCAGCAAUGCCGCGUGGGUGAAGAAGCACUCCGGUGCGUAAAGCCCUGUCAGCAGGGAAGAAAAUGACAGUACCUGGACAAGAAGCCCCGGCUAACUACGUGCCAGCAGCCGCGGUAAUACGUAGGGGGCAAGCGUUAUCCGGAUGUACGGGGUGUAAAGGGAGCGCAGGCGGCGUGGCAAGUCAGAUGUGAAAACCCGGGGCGCAACCACGAGAGUGCAUUUGAAACUGCCAAGCUGGAGUGCCGGAGAGGCAAGCGGAAUUCGUGGUGUAGCGGUGAAAUGCGUAGAUAUUAGGAGGAACACCGGUGGCGGAGGCAGCUUGCUGGACGGUAACUGACGCUGAGGCUCGAAAGCGUGGGGAGCGAACAGGAUUAGAUACCCCGGUAGUC